UGGUCAUUUCCAGAAUAAUAAAUGUAAUUUUUUAAGUAUUCAAACCUUGAACCUUACCAUUACUCAAACAUUUAAUACUAAAAUUCUAACUAUGUUUAUUGUGCAUUAACUUAAAACUCAAAAUAUAAUGUGAUUUUUAAACUAUAAAUCAUUUAUUCUAAAUUCAUGCACAAACAACCUAUAUUCUUAAUAUGAUAUGUUUCUCUUUUUUUUUUUUUUCUUACUUUUGCAUGCAUGCAUGAGUCAUAAAUUGUGGUCUAUAACAUAACUACAUACUAAUUGCAUGUCAACUUUACAUCUUUUUAUUCUUCAAAAUUAAAAAUCCUAAAGACUCUUCCAAUUGGAGAGAUAGGCUUGAUACUAGAGAAGACAUGGAGCAUAAUAUUUUUUGGAAACUUGGUGAGGAAAAUAUUUUAUUCUGGUGGGAUCAAUGGUUGAUCAAUGGCCCUCUUUAUUUGCAACAUGAACAAGCACCCAAACCUGGCAGCACCUUGGUGAAGCAGUACUUCCAACACAACAAUUGGAAUCAAGAAGCACUAGAGGCGGUGCUGCCAAGACAUGCGGUAGAUGAGAUCAUUGACAUCAAAAUAGAAGAAGGACGCAAAGACACACCUUUUUGGAAACUUGAAUCCAGUGGAAAAUUCUCCUGCGCAUCAGCCUUUCAAGCCAUCAGAAAAAAAAAAAAACUCAUCUUCCUCAACUAGAACCUGUUUGGAAUAAAACAAUUCCUUUUAAAAUUUCCUUUUUAAUGUGGAGGCUUCUCAACAAAAAACUUCCACUUGGAAGCUCUUUAGCUAGAUUUGGAAUUACUUCUAACAUUGAUUGUGUUUGUUGCAGGAUUCCAACGCAUGAAUCAUAUAAUCACCUAUUUGUAGCUGGAGAAGAGGCUAAAAGAACCUGGAAAUGGAUCUCUAAACCUCUUCGAAUCAACUCAAACAACAACAAUAUCAUACAAACUCUUGACAACUGGUGGAAGAUUAAAGCCAACAACGCAGUUCACAAGUUGAUAACCACAAUUACUCCAACCUUGGUGUGCUGGACACUGUGGAAGGCAAGAUGCUCUAAGAAAUUCAAGAACAAAAAAAUAUCCAAAGCUUGGAUUUACAAUCAAAUUUUCUUUCAGAAUAAGAUUGCUAUUGCCAAAAGCUUUGGAAAAAUGGAAGAUCAUUGGGGUUGGAAUAUAAUUUGCAGCAUAUCGAUGAAUUAUAAACCAAGACUGAUCAGCACUUUGGUCAAAUGGAACAAGCAUGGUGAUGAUUUAAUUUUAAAUACAGAUGGGAGCUAUAUGAUGAGCACUAGAAAAUACGGAGCAGGAGGAAUUGUUAGGAGAAGAAAUGGAAGCAUGAUUAUGGCUUUUGCAAAUCCGAUUCAUUUCUCAACUAACAACUCUAGCGAGGCAGAACCAGCUCUGUUCGGGAUCUCAUGGUGUAGGAUCAAGGCCUAGCUAACUUUAGAAUGCAAUUGGAGUCCAUGCUCACUGUUCAGAUGAUGAGGGGAAACAUCAACAUCCCUUGGAAUUUGAUCAAGGUGAUUGCAGAAAUCCAACAUAAGGUUAAUGAAAGGGGUAUAAAAGUCUCUCACUGCUAUAGGGAAGGGAAUUCUAUAGCUGAUGCAUUGGCCAAACACGGUACUACCCUUACUCACAAUGUUAUUUUCGACAAUGAAAAUCAACUCCCACGAAAGGUGAGGGGGGCUUACAAUACGGACAAAUUAGACAUUCCAUCUUCCAGAUUUAAGGUGACUAAACAUUCAAGUUGGCAUUUUGAUCCACCGUGAUAUGGAGAAAAAAUAGAAGAUUUUUGCAGAAUGCUGGAUCACUUUAUAGAAGCUAAUGACUAGCUGGACAAUCCCAGACUCAUUGAGUCACCUCCUCUCUUUAAGAAUUGGCAAUGCAAGUUACUAGAGAUAUGUACUUAGAGCCAAUUCAGAUUGUAAAAGUUUUUUUUUUUUUCGGUUGGUGUUAAUAUGCAGGAAAGGCACCCCACACCACCACCACCACCACCACCACCACCCCCUCUUUUUGUAAUUUUGAUCAUUAAUAAACGAGGUAGGGGUCUAUGCCUAACCCCCCACCACCCCGACAAAUGGGGUGGAUGGCUUAUAUAAAAAAAAAGAAAAAAAAACUUUACAUCUUUUAACAUUAAAAAUUAUCAUAUUUAAAACUCAAAAUCAAUCUAAUUAAUAUCAUUUUUGAAACAACAAAUGAAUUAUAAAUAAAGACAUAAAGCACCAAAUUACAUCUAUACAAUAAACUGCGCAUAUUAAACAAAGAAAGACAUUAAAAUAACUUUGUUCAUGCUUCGAUUUAUCACAAGAUGUAUCGAAAUAAAUAAUACGGAAUUGAAUAAAACCUGUAUGAUGAACUAACUAAAAGAGAAGCACUAACGAAUCCACCAGAGACUCACGGAAACUUGAAAUCAAUCCUCUACUACUUUUCUUUUUCUUUUUAUCCGUGUGAUUUUUUUUUUCAUUGUUUCUUGUUAUUCCUUUUGUUUCUUUUUUUUUUCUUUCGUUUUGUUUCAUGGUUUCUCUUUGUUUCUUGUUUUGGUUUUUUUUUU
RNAcentral lists this long non-coding RNA (2558 nucleotides) under Capsicum annuum. RNAcentral's name for it is "long non-coding RNA (CANN_LNC015164)". The record is from RNAcentral. Lineage: Eukaryota; Viridiplantae; Streptophyta; Magnoliopsida; Solanales; Solanaceae.